GAUGAACGCUGGCGGCGUGCCUAAUACAUGCAAGUCGAGCGAACAGACGAGGAGCUUGCUCCUCUGACGUUAGCGGCGGACGGGUGAGUAACACGUGGAUAACCUACCUAUAAGACUGGGAUAACUUCGGGAAACCGGAUCUAAUACCGGAUAAUAUAUUGAACCGCAUGGUUCACUAGUGAAAGACGGUUUUGCUGUCACUUAUAGAUGGAUCCGCGCCGCAUUAGCUAGUUGGUAAGGUAACGGCUUACCAAGGCGACGAUGCGUAGCCGACCUGAGAGGGUGAUCGGCCACACUGGAACUGAGACACGGUCCAGACUCCUACGGGAGGCAGCAGUAGGGAAUCUUCCGCAAUGGGCGAAAGCCUGACGGAGCAACGCCGCGUGAGUGAUGAAGGUCUUCGGAUCGUAAAACUCUGUUAUUAGGGAAGAACAAAUGUGUAAGUAACUAUGCACGUCUUGACGGUACCUAAUCAGAAAGCCACGGCUAACUACGUG
RNAcentral lists this ribosomal RNA (497 nucleotides) under uncultured bacterium. Its description in RNAcentral is "partial 16S ribosomal RNA". It matches the Rfam family "Bacterial small subunit ribosomal RNA", at positions 28 to 507 of the family's 1533-position model. The record is from RNAcentral.